ACGCUCGACACACGAGGCAGCAGUGGGGAAUAUUGCACAAUGGGGGAAACCCUGAUGCAGCGACGCCGCGUGAAGGAAGAAGUAUCUCGGUAUGUAAACUUCUAUCAGCAGGGAAGAAAAUGACGGUACCUGACUAAGAAGCCCCGGCUAACUACGUGCCCGCAGCCGCGGUAAUCUGAGCGGGCGUGGCAAGGC
This 195-nucleotide ribosomal RNA is filed under the name uncultured bacterium. Its description in RNAcentral is "partial 16S ribosomal RNA". It matches the Rfam family "Bacterial small subunit ribosomal RNA", at positions 333 to 538 of the family's 1533-position model. The record is from RNAcentral.